CUACGUAGGGUGCGAGCGUUGUCCGGAAUUACUGGGCGUAAAGAGUUCGUAGGCGGUUUGUCGCGUCGUUUGUGAAAACCCGGGGCUCAACUUCGGGCUUGCAGGCGAUACGGGCAGACUUGAGUGUUUCAGGGGAGACUGGAAUUCCUGGUGUAGCGGUGAAAUGCGCAGAUAUCAGGAGGAACACCGGUGGCGAAGGCGGGUCUCUGGGAAACAACUGACGCUGAGGAACGAAAGCGUGGGUAGCAAACAGGAUUAGAUACCCUGGUAGUCCACGCCGUAAACGGUGGGCGCUAGGUGUGGGUUCCUUCCACGGGAUCUGUGCCGUAGCUAACGCAUUAAGCGCCCCGCCUGGGGAGUACGGCCGCAAGGCUAAA
RNAcentral lists this ribosomal RNA (377 nucleotides) under uncultured bacterium. RNAcentral describes it as "bacterial SSU rRNA". It matches the Rfam family "Bacterial small subunit ribosomal RNA", at positions 523 to 898 of the family's 1533-position model. The record is from RNAcentral.